Molecule: unclassified non-coding RNA, 514 nt
Filed under: uncultured Entrophospora
Lineage: Eukaryota; Fungi; Glomeromycota; Glomeromycetes; Entrophosporales; Entrophosporaceae
Description: SSU rRNA
Rfam family: Eukaryotic small subunit ribosomal RNA
Source: RNAcentral
AGCAGCCGCGGUAAUUCCAGCUCCAAUAGCGUAUAUUAAAGUUGUUGCAGUUAAAAAGCUCGUAGUUGAAUUUCGGGAUUGACGUGAUGGUCGUGCCUUACGGGGUAUGAACUGUUGCUGUUGAUUUCUCACCUUCUGGAGAAACUUGAUGUCCUUAAUUGGGUGUCUUGCGGAUCCAGGACCUUUACCUUGAAAAAUUGAGUGUUUAAAGCAGGCAUUUUGCUCGAAUACAUUAGCAUGGAAUAAUAGAAUAGGACGGCAUGGUUCUAUUUUGUUGGUUUCUAGGAUCACCGUAAUGAUUAAUAGGGAUAGUUGGGGGCAUUAGUAUUCAAUUGUCAGAGGUGAAAUUCUUGGAUUUAUUGAAGACUAACUACUGCGAAAGCAUUUGCCAAGGAUGUUUUCAUUAAUCAAGAACGAAAGUUAGGGGAUCGAAGACGAUCAGAUACCGUCGUAGUCUUAACCAUAAACUAUGCCGACUAGGGAUCGGAUGAUGUUAAUUUUAAUGUACUCAUUC